Tephrocybe sp. NHM501043 is the source of this 109-nucleotide non-coding RNA. The record is from the annotation of a GenBank genome assembly. Lineage: Eukaryota; Fungi; Basidiomycota; Agaricomycetes; Agaricales; Lyophyllaceae.
GGUGACAUGGCCGAGCGGUCUAAGGCGCCAGAAUCAGGCAUGAGUCAUUUCGACGUUCUCAGUCUUUAUCUGGUCUUUCGGGGCGGGAGUUCGAAUCUCCCUGUCAUCA